Long non-coding RNA from Bos taurus (domestic cattle), 551 nucleotides. NCBI's taxonomy places the organism in Eukaryota, Metazoa, Chordata, Mammalia, Artiodactyla, Bovidae. The record is from Ensembl.
UUAAAGAAGCAAGUAAAGCGGGAGAUGUCUUUGAAGCUAUCUUUUUUUUUUUUUUUUUCCUUUUUCAGCUGCGACCUACCGCUUGCGGAAUCUUGGUUCCGGGACCAGGGAUUUAACCUGGGCCCUCCGCAGUGAAAGCUGGACCCUUUACCACCAGCUGGCCUGCCUGAGGAAUUGGCUGGAAAGUCUGCACAGAUCAUGAGGAAGGGGCUCCCUGAGUCUCUGGAUUUCCCCUUUGCCCCUCAUCUCCACACCAUUCCCACUCUCUUUUCCCGAAUCCUGGCGCUAUCCUGGAGUGAAGCCGGAGGAGGAUGCUUCCUGUGGGAGGCCAGCGUGCCCAUUGAGGCAAAGAAGUGCUUGUAGUGUGCCAGAACUCUGCGCUCACGUGGCCGCGGCGAGGCCGGGAAUGCGGGAGACGGCUGCUGUCAGAGUCUGCAGACAUCCGGGAAGAGCCUCACCUCGUUUGACCCUGAACGCUGGCCCAGAGCCCGGCCGGGACUCGCUGCUGCCUCCCGGCGGUGGAGGUUGGACAUGCACCACCACGAGUGCCC